Molecule: ribosomal RNA, 251 nt
Filed under: uncultured bacterium
Lineage: Bacteria
Description: partial 16S ribosomal RNA
Rfam family: Bacterial small subunit ribosomal RNA
Source: RNAcentral
ACGUAUGGAGCAAGCGUUAUCCGGAUUUACUGGGUGUAAAGGGAGUGCAGGUGGCCAGGCAAGUCAGAAGUGAAAGCCCGGGGCUCAACCCCGGGACUGCUUUUGAAACUGCAGGGCUAGAGUGCAGGAGGGGCAAGUGGAAUUCCUAGUGUAGCGGUGAAAUGCGUAGAUAUUAGGAGGAACACCAGUGGCGAAGGCGGCUUGCUGGACUGUAACUGACACUGAGGCUCGAAAGCGUGGGGAGCAAACAG